This 1483-nucleotide ribosomal RNA is filed under the name Salmonella enterica. Its description in RNAcentral is "partial 23S ribosomal RNA". It matches the Rfam family "Bacterial large subunit ribosomal RNA", at positions 1336 to 2802 of the family's 2925-position model. The record is from RNAcentral. RNAcentral also lists the same sequence under 1 other name. Lineage: Bacteria; Pseudomonadati; Pseudomonadota; Gammaproteobacteria; Enterobacterales; Enterobacteriaceae.
GCCGGAAGACCAAGGGUUCCUGUCCAACGUUAAUCGGGGCAGGGUGAGUCGACCCCUAAGGCGAGGCCGAAAGGCGUAGUCGAUGGGAAACGGGUUAAUAUUCCCGUACUUGGUGUUACUGCGAAGGGGGGACGGAGAAGGCUAUGUUGGCCGGGCGACGGUUGUCCCGGUUUAAGCGUGUAGGUGUGUGUUCCAGGUAAAUCCGGUUCACUUUAACACUGAGGCGUGACGACGAGGCACUACGGUGCUGAAGCAACAAAUGCCCUGCUUCCAGGAAAAGCCUCUAAGCAUCAGGUAACAUCAAAUCGUACCCCAAACCGACACAGGUGGUCAGGUAGAGAAUACCAAGGCGCUUGAGAGAACUCGGGUGAAGGAACUAGGCAAAAUGGUGCCGUAACUUCGGGAGAAGGCACGCUGACACGUAGGUGAAGUGAUUUACUCAUGGAGCUGAAGUCAGUCGAAGAUACCAGCUGGCUGCAACUGUUUAUUAAAAACACAGCACUGUGCAAACACGAAAGUGGACGUAUACGGUGUGACGCCUGCCCGGUGCCGGAAGGUUAAUUGAUGGGGUCAGCGCAAGCGAAGCUCCUGAUCGAAGCCCCGGUAAACGGCGGCCGUAACUAUAACGGUCCUAAGGUAGCGAAAUUCCUUGUCGGGUAAGUUCCGACCUGCACGAAUGGCGUAAUGAUGGCCAGGCUGUCUCCACCCGAGACUCAGUGAAAUUGAACUCGCUGUGAAGAUGCAGUGUACCCGCGGCAAGACGGAAAGACCCCGUGAACCUUUACUAUAGCUUGACACUGAACAUUGAGCCUUGAUGUGUAGGAUAGGUGGGAGGCUUUGAAGUGUGGACGCCAGUCUGCAUGGAGCCGACCUUGAAAUACCACCCUUUAAUGUUUGAUGUUCUAACGUGGACCCGUUACCCGGGUUGCGGACAGUGUCUGGUGGGUAGUUUGACUGGGGCGGUCUCCUCCUAAAGAGUAACGGAGGAGCACGAAGGUUGGCUAAUCCUGGUCGGACAUCAGGAGGUUAGUGCAAUGGCAUAAGCCAGCUUGACUGCGAGCGUGACGGCGCGAGCAGGUGCGAAAGCAGGUCAUAGUGAUCCGGUGGUUCUGAAUGGAAGGGCCAUCGCUCAACGGAUAAAAGGUACUCCGGGGAUAACAGGCUGAUACCGCCCAAGAGUUCAUAUCGACGGCGGUGUUUGGCACCUCGAUGUCGGCUCAUCACAUCCUGGGGCUGAAGUAGGUCCCAAGGGUAUGGCUGUUCGCCAUUUAAAGUGGUACGCGAGCUGGGUUUAGAACGUCGUGAGACAGUUCGGUCCCUAUCUGCCGUGGGCGCUGGAGAACUGAGGGGGGCUGCUCCUAGUACGAGAGGACCGGAGUGGACGCAUCACUGGUGUUCGGGUUGUCAUGCCAAUGGCACUGCCCGGUAGCUAAAUGCGGAAGAGAUAAGUGCUGAAAGCAUCUAAGCACGAAACUUGCCCCGA